This 252-nucleotide ribosomal RNA is filed under the name uncultured bacterium. Its description in RNAcentral is "partial 16S ribosomal RNA". It matches the Rfam family "Bacterial small subunit ribosomal RNA", at positions 524 to 776 of the family's 1533-position model. The record is from RNAcentral.
UACAGAGGUCUCAACCGUUGUUCGGAUUCAUUGGGCGUAAAGGGUGCGUAGGCGGUCGCGUAAGUCGGAUGUGAAAUCUCAGGGCUCAACCCUGAAACUGCAUUCGAUACUGCGUGGCUAGGGUACUGGAGAGGAGACUGGAAUUUACGGUGUAGCAGUGAAAUGCGUAGAUAUCGUAAGGAAGACCAGUGGCGAAGGCGAGUCUCUGGACAGUUACCGACGCUGAGGCACGAAGGUCAGGGAGCAAACGGG